ACACAUGCAGUCGAGCGCACCUUCGGGUGAGCGGCGGACGGGUUAGUAACGCGUGGGAACAUACCCUUUUCUACGGAAUAGCCUCGGGAAACUGAGAGUAAUACCGUAUACGCCCUUUGGGGGAAAGAUUUAUCGGAGAAGGAUUGGCCCGCGUCUGAUUAGAUAGUUGGUGGGGUAAUGGCCUACCAAGUCUACGAUCAGUAGCUGGUUUGAGAGGAUGAUCAGCAACACUGGGACUGAGACACGGCCCAGACUCCUACGGGAGGCAGCAGUGGGGAAUCUUAGACAAUGGGCGCAAGCCUGAUCUAGCCAUGCCGCGUGAGUGACGAAGGCCUUAGGGUCGUAAAGCUCUUUCGCCAGAGAUGAUAAUGACAGUAUCUGGUAAAGAAACCCCGGCUAACUCCGUGCCAGCAGCCGCGGUAAUACGGAGGGGGUUAGCGUUGUUCGGAAUUACUGGGCGUAAAGCGCACGUAGGCGGAUUAGAAAGUUGGGGGUGAAAUCCCAGGGCUCAACCCUGGAACUGCCUCCAAAACUACUAGUCUAGAGUUCGAGAGAGGUGAGUGGAAUUCCAAGUGUAGAGGUGAAAUUCGUAGAUAUUUGGAGAAACACCAGUGGCGAAGGCGGCUCACUGGCUCGAUACUGACGCUGAGGUGCGAAAGUGUGGGGAGCAAACAGGAUUAGAUACCCUGGUAGUCCACACCGUAAACGAUGAAUGCCAGACGUCAGGGGCUUGCCCUUUGGUGUCACACCUAACGGAUUAAGCAUUCCGCCUGGGGGAGUACAGUCGCAAGAUAAACUCAAGGAUUGACGGGGGCCCGCACA
RNAcentral lists this ribosomal RNA (822 nucleotides) under uncultured bacterium. Its description in RNAcentral is "bacterial SSU rRNA". It matches the Rfam family "Bacterial small subunit ribosomal RNA", at positions 51 to 927 of the family's 1533-position model. The record is from RNAcentral.